Molecule: non-coding RNA, 227 nt
Organism: Paramuricea clavata
Lineage: Eukaryota; Metazoa; Cnidaria; Anthozoa; Malacalcyonacea; Plexauridae
Source: the annotation of a GenBank genome assembly
UUACAUUUCUUCCCCAUCUUGUCCAAACAUGAAAUCCUUUGUGAUUUUUCAACACUUGAAUACGGUAAAAUCUAUCUGACUUUUUACCAGCAAAGUUAAGUAAACAAUCGAAAUCUUGAAAUAUUUCGCCUGACUGCAAUUUGCAAUGUUCAUCCAUAAAUUGUUACCAGAGAAGUACCAGGCGGGAAACGAAUUCUGAUAAUAAAUAUUAAUGCCCAGCAAAGUGC